This 467-nucleotide ribosomal RNA is filed under the name uncultured bacterium. RNAcentral describes it as "partial 16S ribosomal RNA". It matches the Rfam family "Bacterial small subunit ribosomal RNA", at positions 28 to 507 of the family's 1533-position model. The record is from RNAcentral.
GACGAACGCUGGCGGCGUGCUUAACACAUGCAAGUCGAACGGAAAGGCCCUGCUUUUGUGGGUGCUCGAGUGGCGAACGGGUGAGUAACACGUGAGUAACCUGCCCUUGACUUUGGGAUAACUUCAGGAAACUGGGGCUAAUACCGGAUAGGAGCUCCUGCUGCAUGGUGGGGGUUGGAAAGUUUCGGCGGUUGGGGAUGGACUCGCGGCUUAUCAGCUUGUUGGUGGGGUAGUGGCUUACCAAGGCUUUGACGGGUAGCCGGCCUGAGAGGGUGACCGGCCACAUUGGGACUGAGAUACGGCCCAGACUCCUACGGGAGGCAGCAGUGGGGAAGAUUGCACAAUGGGCGGAAGCCUGAUGCAGCAACGCCGCGUGCGGGAUGACGGCCUUCGGGUUGUAAACCGCUUUCGCCUGUGACGAAGCGUGAGUGACGGUAAUGGGUAAAGAAGCACCGGCUAACUACGUG